AAUCAACGCUGGCGGCGUGCCUCAGACAUGCAAGUCGAACGCGAAAGUCCCCUUCGGGGGACAAGUAGAGUGGCGCACGGGUGAGUAACACGUAGGUAAUCUACCUUCGGAUGGGGAAUAACAACCGGAAACGGUUGCUAAUACCGCAUAAUGCAGCGGCACCUAAUGGUGACAGUUGUUAAAGCGGGGGAUCGAAAGACCUCGCGUCUGAAGAGGAGCCUGCGGCGGAUUAGCAGUUGGUAAGGUAACGGCUUACCAAGGCGACGAUCCGUAGCCGGCCUGAGAGGGGCGGUCGGCCACACUGACACUGACAUACGGGUCAGACUCCUACGGGAGGCAGCAGUCGGGAAUUUUGGGCAAUGGGCGAAAGCCUGACCCAGCAACGCCGCGUGGGGAUGAAGGCC
Molecule: ribosomal RNA, 404 nt
Filed under: uncultured bacterium
Lineage: Bacteria
Description: bacterial SSU rRNA
Rfam family: Bacterial small subunit ribosomal RNA
Source: RNAcentral